This 403-nucleotide ribosomal RNA is filed under the name uncultured bacterium. RNAcentral's name for it is "bacterial SSU rRNA". It matches the Rfam family "Bacterial small subunit ribosomal RNA", at positions 355 to 776 of the family's 1533-position model. The record is from RNAcentral.
UAGGGAAUAUUGGACAAUGGGCGAAAGCCUGAUCCAGCAAUGCCGCGUGAGUGAGGAAGGCCUUAGGGUUGUAAAGCUCUUUCGCACGCGACGAUGAUGACGGUAGCGUGUAAAGAAGCCCCGGCUAACUUCGUGCCAGCAGCCGCGGUAAUACGAAGGGGGCAAGCGUUGUUCGGAAUUACUGGGCGUAAAGGGCGCGUAGGCGGCCUUGUUUGUCAGGCGUGAAAGCCCUGGCUCAACCCAGGAAUUGCGCUUGGGACGGCAAGGCUUGAGUUCGGGAGAGGAGAGUGGAAUUCCCAGUGUAGAGGUGAAAUUCGUAGAUAUUGGGAAGAACACCGGUGGCGAAGGCGGCUCUCUGGACCGAUACUGACGCUGAGGCGCGAAAGCGUGGGGAGCAAACAGG